This 433-nucleotide ribosomal RNA is filed under the name uncultured Allobrachymonas sp. Its description in RNAcentral is "bacterial SSU rRNA". It matches the Rfam family "Bacterial small subunit ribosomal RNA", at positions 941 to 1382 of the family's 1533-position model. Lineage: Bacteria; Pseudomonadati; Pseudomonadota; Betaproteobacteria; Burkholderiales; Comamonadaceae. The record is from RNAcentral.
GUGGUUUAAUUCGAUGCAACGCGAAAACCUUACCACCUUGACAUGGCAGGAAUCCUGAAGAGAUUUGGAGUGCUCGAAAGAGAACCUGCACACAGGUGCUGCAUGGCUGUCGUCAGCUCGUGUCGUGAGAUGUUGGGUUAAGUCCCGCAACGAGCGCAACCCUUGCCAUUAGUUGCUACGAAAGGGCACUCUAAUGGGACUGCCGGUGACAAACCGGAGGAAGGUGGGGAUGACGUCAAGUCCUCAUGGCCCUUAUAGGUGGGGCUACACACGUCAUACAAUGGCCGGUACAGAGGGUAGCCAACCCGCGAGGGGGAGCCAAUCCCACAAAGCCGGUCGUAGUCCGGAUCGCAGUCUGCAACUCGACUGCGUGAAGUCGGAAUCGCUAGUAAUCGCGGAUCAGCAUGUCACGGUGAAUACGUUCCCGGGUCUU